RNAcentral lists this unclassified non-coding RNA (336 nucleotides) under soil metagenome. RNAcentral describes it as "partial contains 5.8S ribosomal RNA, internal transcribed spacer 2, and large subunit ribosomal RNA". The stretch from base 1 to 120 matches the Rfam family "5.8S ribosomal RNA", at positions 35 to 154 of the family's 154-position model. The record is from RNAcentral.
GAUGAAGAACGCAGCGAAAUGCGAUAAGUAGUGUGAAUUGCAGAAUUCAGUGAAUCAUCGAAUCUUUGAACGCACAUUGCGCCCGCCAGUAUUCUGGCGGGCAUGCCUGUUCGAGCGUCAUUUCAACCAUCAAGCCCCCGGCUUGUGUUGGGGACCUGCGGCUGCCGCAGGCCCUGAAAAGCAGUGGCGGGCUCGCUGUCACACCGAGCGUAGUAGCAUACAUCUCGCUCUGGGCGUGCUGCGGGUUCCGGCCGUUAAACCACGUUCAUAACCCAAGGUUGACCUCGGAUCAGGUAGGAAGACCCGCUGAACUUAAGCAUAUCAAUAAGCGGAGGA